GACGAACGCUGGCGGCGUGCUUAACACAUGCAAGUCGAACGGACAGACAGAGAGCUUGCUCUCUUGAAGUUAGUGGCGAACGGGUGAGUAACGCGUAAUCAACCUGCCCUUCAGAGGGGGAUAACAACGGGAAACCGUUGCUAAUACCGCGCACGAUUCAUGAACGGCAUCGUUUAUGAAUGAAAGGUGGCCUCUAUGUAUAAGCUAUCGCUGAAGGAGGGGAUUGCGUCUGAUUAGCUAGUUGGAGGGGUAACGGCCCACCAAGGCAAUGAUCAGUAGCCGGUCUGAGAGGAUGAACGGCCACAUUGGGACUGAGACACGGCCCAAACUCCUACGGGAGGCAGCAGUGGGGAAUCUUCCGCAAUGGACGAAAGUCUGACGGAGCAACGCCGCGUGAGUGAUGAAGGUCUUCGGAUUGUAAAGCUCUGUUAAUCGGGACGAAAGAGUUCUGCGUGAAUAAUGCAGAAAAGUGACGGUACCGGAAUAGAAGGCCACGGCUAACUACGUGUCAGCAGCCGCGGUAA
This 524-nucleotide ribosomal RNA is filed under the name uncultured bacterium. Its description in RNAcentral is "partial 16S ribosomal RNA". It matches the Rfam family "Bacterial small subunit ribosomal RNA", at positions 28 to 523 of the family's 1533-position model. The record is from RNAcentral.